RNAcentral lists this non-coding RNA (26 nucleotides) under Rattus norvegicus (Norway rat). Lineage: Eukaryota; Metazoa; Chordata; Mammalia; Rodentia; Muridae. The record is from RNAcentral.
UGAGCAUGCUUGGCAGUUUCUCAGAU